Long non-coding RNA from Homo sapiens (human), 1349 nucleotides. Ensembl annotates it as MIR9-1 host gene. Its record names the gene MIR9-1HG. The record is from Ensembl. Lineage: Eukaryota; Metazoa; Chordata; Mammalia; Primates; Hominidae.
GGCAGUCCAGCCGCAGGGGCCACCCGAACAGUCUCUCCUCCUCACAGAAGCCUGGAGCUGGGCAUCCAAGAAGAAGCAGCCUCAUUUGUUUUCUGGUGUCAUCGUAGGUGGCCACCUAUGGCUUUUGGGGUAUUUAUUUUCUUAUUUAUUGUUUCUGAUGGUGGAGUGGGUGGGGGAAGAAAAGGAAAACUGGCCCUGUCUCACUUAUGUUUUCUCCUGUUCUCUGUACCCCUCUACCCCUCUCCCUGUCUCUUCCAGCUUUCGGCCCCUGAUUUUGGUCUACUCCAAUUGUAGAAAGACCUACAUAGUCAAUGAUAGGCCACCCUGCUUCCAGUUCUGUGAUAGAGAGGAAAGGCAUUGGGGAUACAGGGAACUCUUUCCCCUUCUCCAAUGGGCUCCUGAGGGCAAAGUUGGAGGCCAAUUGACCUUGGGGGAGAUGAUUGGUUGGAGAAGGGAACAGAGAUACUUGUACCUGGGUGACAGAGGUGAGAAAGAAGAGGAGCAUGGGGUAUGGUAAAUGGGGACCCAAGGAGCUUAAAUAACUGUGAGUGGGUAUGUAUGCCAGGGUAUACAACUGCAAGCACUGGGAGGUGGUACUGCUGGGAGUAUCAGUGGAUUUGUCAUUGCAUUGGUCUGAGUUGAUAAGUUUGAGUAUGUGUGCAUGUGUGUGUGUGUGCGCACGCGUGUAUGUGUGUGCGUGUGUGUAUGUGUAUGUGUGUGCAUGUGUGUGUGUGCGUGUGUGUGUGUGUGAUGCGCAGCACCCUUGCAUACUCAUGCUUAUGCCCCUUAAGGAGGCCAUUUGCUGAUGGUUGAGGGUCUUGUAGAAAGGACUCAGUCUGGACGAACCAGCCAACCCUCUACCAUCUCUGCCACCUUGUUCUUACCUCCCAGACACAUAAGGUUCUCAGGCAAGUGAGCAAUGUGUGGGCUCAAGAAUAGAACUGGGAGCAGGCAAGGAAGGCAGUACUUACACAAGCCCAAGGAAUUCUCAAGCUGGCCCCUCAAUAGGAGGAACAUACCACUCUCUCGUGGGGAAGAAGUGUGACAUCCUUAGGGACGAUAUCCUCCAGAUUAUUUCUCCAUACCUCCUACCUUUUCUGCCCACAUGAAUAGAUAUUUUGUAUAUAUAUAUUUUUUUCACACAGCCUCAGUAUUUUUUAUUGCUAAUUCUUGCUUUUAUUUGUGACUAUCCCAUAGACAAUGCAGAUUUCUAUAGCAAAAAAUGUAUGAUAUUGUUCAUAAUGAUGCACUUAUAAGACAAAUAAAUAUCUGAAUCCACCCUUUCCCAAAUGCAGCUUUCAUCUGUGUCUUCAAGGCAAAUUAAUCUGGUAAUUGGAACAUAGAAAAAA